UAUUUCUCGACGACGCCCAAUUGACGGGUGUUGUGUAUGGUGGGACUCGUAGCACGACGCUCCCUUUUACCAGGCCUAACUUUGAUUGACUUUAGGGAAAUUCCCCCAUCAUCCGAGUUGUGAUGCGUCAUUUUUUUGCCUGUGU
Molecule: unclassified non-coding RNA, 145 nt
Filed under: Maize fine streak virus
Lineage: Riboviria; Orthornavirae; Negarnaviricota; Monjiviricetes; Mononegavirales; Rhabdoviridae
Description: Maize fine streak nucleorhabdovirus miscellaneous RNA
Source: RNAcentral